UUAGUCAGGCAACGAGCGAGACCCACGCCCACAGUUGCCAGCGUACUCUCCGGAGUGACGGGUACACUGUGGGGACCGCCGCUGCUAAAGCGGAGGAAGGAAUGGGCAACGGUAGGUCAGUAUGCCCCGAAUAUCCCGGGCUACACGCGGGCUACAAUGGUUGGUACAAUGGGUAUCUACCCCGAAAGGGGAUGGCAAUCUCCUAAAACCAAUCUUAGUCCGGAUUGAGGGCUGCAACUCGCCCUCAUGAAGCUGGAAUCCGUAGUAAUCGCGUUUCAACAGAACGCGGUGAAUACGUCCCUGCUCCUUGCACA
RNAcentral lists this ribosomal RNA (314 nucleotides) under uncultured methanogenic archaeon. RNAcentral's name for it is "bacterial SSU rRNA". It matches the Rfam family "Archaeal small subunit ribosomal RNA", at positions 1030 to 1343 of the family's 1478-position model. Lineage: Archaea; Methanobacteriati; Methanobacteriota. The record is from RNAcentral.